Molecule: ribosomal RNA, 253 nt
Filed under: uncultured bacterium
Lineage: Bacteria
Description: partial 16S ribosomal RNA
Rfam family: Bacterial small subunit ribosomal RNA
Source: RNAcentral
UACGUAGGGUGCGAGCGUUGCUCGGAAUCACUGGGCGUAAAGGGUGCGUAGGCGGGUUUUUAAGUCAGAGGUGAAAUCCUGGAGCUCAACUCCAGAACUGCCUUUGAUACUGAAGAUCUUGAGUAUGGGAGAGGUGAGUGGAACUGCGAGUGUAGAGGUGAAAUUCGUAGAUAUUCGCAAGAACACCAGUGGCGAAGGCGGCUCACUGGCCCAUUACUGACGCUGAGGCACGAAAGCGUGGGGAGCAAACAGG